CUUAGGAUGAACGCUAGCGACAGGCCUAACACAUGCAAGUCAGGGGCAGCACAAGGAGCAAUCUGAGGUGGCGACCGGCGCACGGGUGAGUAACACGUAUGCAACCUGCCUGUAAGCGGGGAAUAACCCGUUGAAAGACGGACUAAUACCGCAUAAUACUAAAUUACUGCAUGGUAAUUAUUUAAACAUUUAUGGCUUACAGAUGGGCAUGCGCAUGAUUAGCUAGUUGGAGAGGUAACGGCUCCCCAAGGCAACGAUCAUUAGGGGUUCUGAGAGGAAGGUCCCCCACACUGGUACUGAGACACGGACCAGACUCCUACGGGAGGCAGCAGUGAGGAAUAUUGGUCAAUGGACGAGAGUCUGAACCAGCCAAGUCGCGUGCAGGAAGAAUGUCCUUAAUGGAUUGUAAACUGCUUUUGCAGGGGAAUAAAGUGCAUCACGUGUGAUGUUUUGUAUGUACUCUGCGAAUAAGGAUCGGCUAACUCCGUGCCAGCCGCUGC
RNAcentral lists this ribosomal RNA (500 nucleotides) under uncultured bacterium. RNAcentral describes it as "bacterial SSU rRNA". It matches the Rfam family "Bacterial small subunit ribosomal RNA", at positions 23 to 518 of the family's 1533-position model. The record is from RNAcentral.